RNAcentral lists this unclassified non-coding RNA (244 nucleotides) under Hevea brasiliensis (rubber tree). Lineage: Eukaryota; Viridiplantae; Streptophyta; Magnoliopsida; Malpighiales; Euphorbiaceae. The record is from RNAcentral.
CUGAGUCCUUCAAUGCGAAAAAGCGCUCGCAAUAUUAUCAAGAAAAUCUGGGCCGGAAGGUCGAGGAAUUGAGGCUUUCCUCGAAAAUGUCCCAGGCGGAUUUGGCCAACGAAGCCGAAACCCGUCGGGCCCNCCCUGAUCAACAAGAUCGAGCGAGGAGAAGCAAACCCGACGCUCGACACGAUCGUAAGCAUGGCAAUGGCGCUGGGCGUCAACCCAGCCGAACUCUUUGACCAACCCCGAU